AAGUGCGAUAUAUAGUGCGAUCUGCAUGAAUCUGUGAGUCAUCUAGUAUUUGAACGCAACUUGCGCCGGCGGUGAGCAUGGCAUGUUCCAUCGAGUACCGGUAAAUGUGUGUGGUUUUGUGGUAACGCAAAACUAUGAAAUGGCGUGUGUCAGAGUCCACUCAGACUGCGCUAAAAUGGAGCAAGUGAAGGGUGAGGAUGUUCUCACGUGUGCUAGAGACAUUUGUCUUGUCACGCGGGAGCAGCCAAUCUCGAUUAAACUUCAACUAACUGGUCUCGGUGGAGCAAGAUUACCCGCUGAACUUAA
RNAcentral lists this unclassified non-coding RNA (306 nucleotides) under uncultured fungus. Its description in RNAcentral is "sequence contains ITS1". The stretch from base 1 to 100 matches the Rfam family "5.8S ribosomal RNA", at positions 51 to 154 of the family's 154-position model. Lineage: Eukaryota; Fungi. The record is from RNAcentral.